UGGGAACGCGAAGAACCUUACCUAGACUUGACAUCCCCUGAAUUACCUGUAAUGAGGGAAGUCCCUUCGGGGACAGGGAGACAGGUGGUGCAUGGUUGUCGUCAGCUCGUGUUGUAAGAUGUUGGGUUAAGUCCCGCAACGAGCGCAACCCUUAUNAUUAGUUGCUACCAUUAAGUUGAGCACUCUAAUGAGACUGCCCGGGUUAACCGGGAGGAAGGUGGGGAUGACGUCAAAUCAUCAUGCCCCCUAUGUCUAGGGCCACACACGUGCUACAAUGGUGAGUACAACGAGAUGCGAACCCGCGAGGGGAGCUAAACUACAAAACUACAUCUCAGUUCGGUAUUGCAGGCUGCAACUCGCCUGCAUGAAGCUGGAGUUGCUAGUAAUCGCGAAUCAGAAUGUCGCGGUGAAUACGUUCCU
This 420-nucleotide ribosomal RNA is filed under the name uncultured bacterium. RNAcentral describes it as "bacterial SSU rRNA". It matches the Rfam family "Bacterial small subunit ribosomal RNA", at positions 954 to 1374 of the family's 1533-position model. The record is from RNAcentral.